Molecule: ribosomal RNA, 279 nt
Filed under: uncultured bacterium
Lineage: Bacteria
Description: partial 16S ribosomal RNA
Rfam family: Bacterial small subunit ribosomal RNA
Source: RNAcentral
UAGGGAAUCUUCCACAAUGGACGCAAGUCUGAUGGAGCAACGCCGCGUGAGUGAAGAAGGUUUUCGGACCGUAAAGCUCUGUUGUUUGGUGAAGAAGGAUAGAGGUAGUAACUGGCCUUUAUUUGACGGUAAUCAACCAGAAAGUCACGGCUAACUACGUGCCAGCAGCCGCGGUAAUACGUAGGUGGCAAGCGUUGUCCGGAUUUAUUGGGCGUAAAGCGAGCGCAGGCGGAAGAAUAAGUCUGAUGUGAAAGCCCUCGGCUUAACCGAGGAAUUGCA